UUCACGAAGACAAAACUUUAUCCGGCGGCCGCCAUUUAAUUCCUCGGUUAAGGCGACUAAAACUUGAACAUUAAGCUCGUUUUGACAGCUUACAGAACUGACAGUUUGCCCAUAAUUGCCUUUUGGAAACAGGACAAUGUGCUUUUGAUAUUAGGAUACUGUUCAGACAGCGAGGACAUCUCUGGACUCUACAUGGGAAACUAGUGACAAGAAGCCAAGAUUCAUUAAAAGUUCAAGACCAGCAAAGGCAAUGUUUCGUAAAAACAAGGGACAAGAACUCAUCAGUAGGAUUUGAAGCGUUGCAUGGUUGGAGUAAUAACCAGGUGACGUUUGGGGUAGCACCAUUUGUAAAUCUCUUUUGAGUAAUGUUGGUUCUCAACCAGUGAAUGAAAACACACAAUUUCCCCAGUACACUACUUAAAGAGAUGUUCACCUUGCACACACAUCAUCACCUUAAGAACCCAUCAGAAGAAACAUCAGCCAUCAACGCUAAUGAUGUUGGAAUUGUAUUACACGAUACUAAACUGUAAAAAAAAAAAAAAUUAUCCUCGCAGCAAACGUGAAAACAAAACAACUUUUUAGUUUUUGGUACUGCUUAAAAAAGUGCUAGAAAAACACAAGUGAGAAUUAAAGCUUGACAGUUUUUUGAUAAAUGUUCAUUAUUUAUAAUAUAGAGAAAACUUGUGAUGUUCAACAACAACUUCUUGGUGUUAUGUUAACAAUUAUAGUUUUACCAAACUUAUUUGGACUCAUUCAUUGACAAAUCAGAGAAAAACCACAUGAAUAACACAAGGCUACUUGUCAGGAACUUUAUCUUUGCAACUUUCUAUAAUUUGUAUUGAACAUUAGUGUGUUUGUUUAUAAGAAAAAAUGUAAACCACUGAAGCAAUUUGUAAAUAAAACAUUGUUUAUUCAUUGGAAAUAUUCAACAA
Long non-coding RNA from Asterias rubens (European starfish), 932 nucleotides. RefSeq lists it as uncharacterized. The transcript has 3 exons. NCBI's taxonomy places the organism in Eukaryota, Metazoa, Echinodermata, Asteroidea, Forcipulatida, Asteriidae. The record is from RefSeq and is a predicted model, not a curated record.